RNAcentral lists this ribosomal RNA (479 nucleotides) under uncultured bacterium. RNAcentral describes it as "bacterial SSU rRNA". It matches the Rfam family "Bacterial small subunit ribosomal RNA", at positions 389 to 864 of the family's 1533-position model. The record is from RNAcentral.
GUGCAAUGCCGCGUGGAGGAUGACGGCCCUAGGGUUGUAAACUCCUGUCAUUGGGGAGCAACAAGCAGGUUUGUAGCCWGCCAUGAGUUAACCCAAAGAGGAAGAGGUGGCUAACUCCGUGCCAGCAGCCGCGGUAAUACGGAGACCUCGAGCGUUACUCGGAUUCACUGGGCGUAAAGGGUGAGUAGGCGGCCAWGUAUGUCGGGUGUGAAAUCCCGGGGCUUAACCCCGGAACUGCGCCCGAAACUACUUGGCUAGAGUCUSGGAGAGGAUAGUGGAAUUCCAGGUGUAGCGGUGAAAUGCGUAGAUAUCKGGAGGAACACCAGUGGCGAAGGCGACUGUCUGGACGAGAACUGACGCUCAAUCACGAAAGCGUGGGUAGCGAAAGGRAUUAGAUACCCCGGUAGUCCACGCCGUAAACGUUGUAMACUAAGUUUCGGAGGAUUCGACCCCUUCGGAGCUCAAGCUAACGCGUUAAG